GCGCAAAAUAUAUCACUAGAUAAUCCAGAGGUGAAAAUAUUAUUUAAAACAAUACCACUACCCAGCAACCCAAAUCCAACACGAAAUUAUCACAAAACGAUGUCAUGAAACUAAUCAAAUACUCAAGUGAUCGAUGCCGUCUCAUGAUCUCAUCGUGUCACCGAUGAUGGAUCAUCCAAUCCCAUCUAAUUAGAGAGCUUAGCUAGGCAGCGACCCAACUGAAAGAACCCUAUCAUGCACCAAGCAUGCAUGCUUCGCAAAUCGCUUUCGUCUCUACUUAUAAAUCUCACGUCAACCACCUCCUCUCCGUCGAUGCAAAUGGUUGGUUGGUCUGUUUGAUUGGUUUGGUCGAAUUGGUUCGCCAUUGCCAUGUCCUUGAAGCUGCCGGAGCGGCCGGCAGCUGCGGGUGGUGCUGUUCUUGGUCGCGAUCACCAUGUCGUCGCCGGCGGCGCCGCCGCCUGAGCUGAGCACAGGUGGUGGUGAUGGCGGCGGUUCGGUCGGCGUGCCCGGCACGGCGAGCUCCAACUUCACGCUGCUGUACAUCAUCAUCGCCGUCCUCGUCAGCGUGAUACUGUACAUGGCCAUCCGGUACGGGCGGGCGGUGAUGUCGGAGUGGAGGCAGUUGCAGCACGGUGGCGGCGGCGGGCGGCACCGGCACGGCG
RNAcentral lists this long non-coding RNA (662 nucleotides) under Oryza brachyantha (malo sina). Its description in RNAcentral is "long non-coding RNA (OBRA_LNC001752)". The record is from RNAcentral. Lineage: Eukaryota; Viridiplantae; Streptophyta; Magnoliopsida; Poales; Poaceae.